GUGGAAGCCCUAAACGUGUAUAAUCACUAAAGGGAGAAUUGAAAGUAAGUUUCAAUUCACAAUGGAUUUGAAAUGGUUUUAAUCGCCCACUGCCUCGCUAAAAGGAACCUAAUGGAUCGUACACCGUGUAAGGUAGAGAUUGAAGAAACAAUGGAGAUGAGUAAGAAUAAUUAAAUGGUUUAAUUAUUUAUGGCAAGGAUUAAUUAAUAUGUUAAUUAAUCAAACGAAUAAGUUCGUUAAAGACCUCGGGAUAGUUUUGGACCUUAAGGCCCAAUGGGCUUCGAACGUCAAGCCCAUUGACUUAAGUUGUAUGACAACUUAAUGAAUAAUGAUUCACAAAGGCCCAAUUAGCCCAAUAAUACCCUAAGGCCGGCCUGUUAGAGAUGGAGUGAGUUUUGGACUUAUUUACAAGUUUGCCACUCAAUGAAUUAAGGUAUAAAUAUGACUUUAUAGCCAAAAUUCAUUUAGGGUUUUCUUUUGGGGAAAGGAUGAGAACAUAAGCUCUCCUUUCUCUCAAAAGUGGCCAGCCUCCUUGGAGGGUUUAGCUAGCAAUCCUACUACUCCAAGGUCACUCAUUUCUUCUCCAAUCUAACCUUGGUGAAGAGACUUAGAGGUUCUCAAUUUUGGGAACUUGGAGAACCAUUUCAUCCAUCCAAAUCCAUAGAUCUAAGAUGCAAGGAAUGAAGGCCCUCUCUUUGGGUGAUUAGCCUUUGCUUAUGCAAAGAGGAAUCUACAAAGGUAUAAUUUCUCAACUAACAAAUGUUGUUUUGAGUUGAGUCUUGGUUCACCCAACUACAGGCUUUGAAUUUCAUGGUUAAUGUUUUGUUUUUGAGUGCAUGCAAGAAUGAUUCCGCCUUUUAAUUGUUAAUUGCAUGUUAUAGAUGUUGCUCAAAUGAACAUGUUUUCACAAAAUAAUCCUUCAAGUGGUAUCAGAGCCUAAGUCUAGUAGUUGGUGAAUCAUUUUGGGUUUUGUAGUUCAUAGUCUUUGAUUUAAAUGUUGUAAUAUGUUACAAGCUUUAUUCUUGUUUCUUUGAAUGUAAAUUUUGUUGGAAAAUUUGCCAUCUCAAAUGUUGUAGAUGUAGUUCAUAUGAGCAUGAAUAUUGGAGCUAAAAUUUGGUGCCAUGUUUUUGGGAAAAUUCGGCCAAAUCCAAAGGGUGGAUUUUUGGGUUCAUGUUUGACUUGUUAAAAGUGUUUUCAAGUGACUUUUGGAACCCCUAUGUACCCUAGUUUGGUUAUAUGUUAUUUCCCUUAAGUUUGAAUGGUUUUGGGAUGUUUUUGGGUGAAAAAUGUUCAUGGAAAUUUUUUAAGUUUUUCAUGAAUGUUCUUCAUUGUUCUUGACAUUUUUCCCAAGAACAAAAAGUUUGGUGUUUUGAUUCAAAGUUUCAUUAUGAAUGCAAAUAUAUUGCCAUAUAGAAGCUUACAAACAAUGUUGUUUGGAUGGGAAAGUUCAUUCAUGAACUCUCUAUUCGGUUCCAACCAGAAAGUGUCUCUAGUGUACCGACACUACGACACUAAUAGGGCGAUAGCUCAAUCCAGGGAAUCAAGGUCUCAUCAAGAUCCGAACUCAAAUGAGAGACUGAACCACAUGAUUAAGAAUCAUGUAUAAUGGUGACGUCGUUAUUCUCAAGGUUGCUUCUAUGGAUAACAUAUAGAUAUCCAUUGUCUAGGCCUACUACUCAGCCAUUUAUGAAAUGACUACAGAAGAGGUAUCAUCACUGAUGACCAAGCUGAUUCGCUCUAGUGCAAGUGGGAGAUUGUUGGAAAUGUGCCCUAAAACCAAUCAUAUGAUGAUACUUUACGGACAUUUCACAUGUUAAACUAAUCUAGUUUAAUAUCAAGGGCAAAGAUUGUUGUUUGAGCCGUCUCAUAUAAAUGUUAUACGCUUAAACGAUAAGUCCAAGGAAUAUGUGAUUAGGAGAAUGCGAUCUAAAGAAGUUAGAUUCAUGAGACCAUUCUUUCGUAGACACAUCCAAAACGUUCAUGAUCAUAGGAUUGCCAAUUGGGCAUUGACAGUCCGUUAAGAUCAGUACGUGUUGUGUCUUCUCUCAGGGAGAGUGACUAGUCUCGAGUCAUUGGUGUGUGUGACAUCAAGAAAAGUACGUAGGUGCUCAAUAGAGAAUGAGUUCCCUGAACACGAUCAACGAAGAGUUCUCAUACUCAUGUCACAUGAGAACUCAUGGUUGGGAUAAUGCAAAGUAGUCCUUUGACCUGAGGCAUCAUAGUUGUCUUGUGGUUAGGUCCUUGAUCUUUGAUUAUGUCAAAGUCACCCCAUCCGCGGGUGUCCACGGCAUCGUCGGGGUUAAGCCACUUAGCCAUGGAGGCAAGUGAAUGCACAACAAGGUAUCUCUAACCUUCAAACCGUUUGGAGGAGAAUACUCUAUGAUAUGAUUAAGAAUCUCUGGCCAGAGUAUGAAUGAGAUUGAGGAAGUCGUUCCAAAUCACAUUCAAGGUAAUCAUAUAAGCACACAAAUAACAUUGGAUAUUAGACAUGAAUAAACUAUCAAACCAAACAAUGUGGUCAAGAGUAUUGUAUUAGAGAAAGACCGUAUUGCAUUUGUAAUCCUAAACUGAAUAGGUUAUCCACCUCUUCUGAUUAGCUUGGGUAACCAUGAUAUGCUGCUAGGUGUCACUCAUGGUUUGUGGAAGCCCUAAACGUGUAUAAUCACUAAAGGGAGAAUUGAAAGUAAGUUUCAAUUCACAAUGGAUUUGAAAUGGUUUUAAUCGCCCACUGCCUCGCUAAAAGGAACCUAAUGGAUCAUACACCGUGUAAGGUGGAGAUUGAAGAAACAUUGGAGAUCAGUAAGAAUAAUUAAAUGGUUUAAUUAUUUAUGGCAAGGAUUAAUUAAUAUGUUAAUUAAUCAAACGAAUAAGUUCGUUAAAGACCUCGGGAUAGUUUUGGACCUUAAGGCCCAAUGGGCUUCAAAAGUCAAGCCCAUUGACUAAAGUUGUAUGACAACUUAAUGAAUAAUGAUUCACAAAGGCCCAAUUGGCCCAAUAAUACCCUAAGGCCGGCCAUUUAGAGAUGGAGUGAG
This 3032-nucleotide long non-coding RNA is filed under the name Malus domestica (apple). RNAcentral's name for it is "long non-coding RNA (MDOM_LNC018207)". The record is from RNAcentral. Lineage: Eukaryota; Viridiplantae; Streptophyta; Magnoliopsida; Rosales; Rosaceae.